AGAGGAAUAGAGAGCCAAAGAGAGAGAGAGAGAGAGCUCUUUAAAUCCACCUGUUAGCCGGCAUAUAUUCUUGCGCCUUCGGUUUGGGAAGGUGAACUGAUCGCCAGGACCGUGUACCAGGGUUUUAACACAAAAUUCUGCAUUUUUCCAAAGUCGUCACCGAGAACGAUCUGCAUCUUUAAUGGACUAUUAACGCCGACGGCACCGUGAGGGACAAUGUUAAUGCAUCAUUUGCUUAACCUUCCACAAAUGCCUUGAUCUCGCAGGGACUUCGCAACAGUGCCGUAACUCGCGCAAAAUCGGCACAAGACAGGACUUUUUGUUUUUCAUUGGUGAAUAUGGCAAAGCGACUGCACUGAACUGGAGCCGAGGUUUGCAACACACUGUUGCAAAAUUUUUGAAGAAGAACACGAUGCUCUCCCUCUCGCGUGCCCCGUAACUGCUUCCAUUCAUUCAGUCCAGCUUGGCUCGAGCGCCGUCUUCUCUCCUGGAGAUUUUCCUUUCAGUUUCCUCUCAAUUAUGUUCACUUUCGCUGCCUUUUGCUAUAUGCUUUCCCUCGUCCUCUGUGCUUCUCUCAUCUUCUUCGCGAUCUGGCAUAUAACCGCCUUUGAUGAGCUUCAGGCAGACUUCAAGGUGCCGAUCGAUCAGGGAAAUCCACUUCAUGCGCGUGAAAGACUUCGAAAUAUAGAGAGGAUCUGUUGCCUGCUGAGAAAG
Molecule: long non-coding RNA, 714 nt
Organism: Carassius auratus (goldfish)
Lineage: Eukaryota; Metazoa; Chordata; Actinopteri; Cypriniformes; Cyprinidae
Exons: 3
Source: RefSeq, a predicted model, not a curated record